AUGACCUCGAUCAGGUAGUGCCCGUCAC
RNAcentral lists this ribosomal RNA (28 nucleotides) under Podosphaera pannosa. Its description in RNAcentral is "partial 28S ribosomal RNA". The record is from RNAcentral. Lineage: Eukaryota; Fungi; Ascomycota; Leotiomycetes; Helotiales; Erysiphaceae.